AUCAAUAAGCGGAGGAAAAGAAACUAACAAGGAUUCCCCUAGUAACUGCGAGUGAAGCGGGAAAAGCUCAAAUUUAAAAUCUGGCGGCUUUGGUCGUCCGAGUUGUAUUCUAGAGAAGUGUUUUCCGCGUUGGACCGUGUAUAAGUCUCUUGGAAUAGAGCGUCAUAGAGGGUGAGAAUCCCGUCUUUGACACGGACUACCAAUGCUUUGUGAUACACUCUCAAAGAGUCGAGUUGUUUGGGAAUGCAGCUCAAAAUGGGUGGUAAAUUCCAUCUAAAGCUAAAUAUUGGCGAGAGACCGAUAGCGAACAAGUACCGUGAGGGAAAGAUGAAAAGCACUUUGGAAAGAGAGUUAAACAGUACGUGAAAUUGCUGAAAGGGAAACGCUUGAAGUCAGUCGCGUUAGCUAGAACUCAACCAGGCUUGCUUGGCGUAUUUUCUAGUUAACGGGCCAGCAUCAGUUUUGACCGCAGGAAAAGGGCCAGGGAAAUGUGGCAUCUUCGGAUGUGUUAUAGUCUCUGGUCGUAUACUGUGAUUGGGACUGAGGACCGCAGCACGCGCAAGCUGUGCUUAGGAUGCUGGCGUAAUGGCUUUAAACGACCCGUCUUGAAACACGGACCAAGGAGU
RNAcentral lists this ribosomal RNA (626 nucleotides) under Ceriporiopsis sp. MD-1. Its description in RNAcentral is "LSU rRNA". It matches the Rfam family "Eukaryotic large subunit ribosomal RNA", at positions 42 to 674 of the family's 3401-position model. The record is from RNAcentral. Lineage: Eukaryota; Fungi; Basidiomycota; Agaricomycetes; Polyporales; Meruliaceae.